RNAcentral lists this ribosomal RNA (493 nucleotides) under uncultured bacterium. RNAcentral's name for it is "bacterial SSU rRNA". It matches the Rfam family "Bacterial small subunit ribosomal RNA", at positions 29 to 514 of the family's 1533-position model. The record is from RNAcentral.
AUUGAACGCUGGCGGCGUGCUUAACACAUGCAAGUCGAGCGGUAACAGGCGUAGCAAUACGUGCUGACGAGCGGCGAACGGGUGCGUAAUACAUCGGAAUCUGCCUAGUAGUGGGGAAUAACCCGGCGAAAGCCGGGCUAAUGCCGCAUACGAUCCACGGAUGAAAGCGGGGGACUUUCGGGCCUCGCGCUAUUAGAUGAGCCGAUGCCGGAUUAGCUAGUUGGGAGGUAACGGCUCACCAAGGCGACGAUCCGUAGCUGGUCUGAGAGGACGGCCAGCCACACCGGAACUGAGACACGGUCCGGACUCCUACGGGAGGCAGCAGUGGGGAAUAUUGGACAAUGGGGGCAACCCUGAUCCAGCGACGCCGCGUGGGUGAAGAAGGCCUGCGGGGUUGUAAAGCCCUUUCGGUGGGGAAGAAAAGUCUCGACCUAAUACGUCGGGACCUUGACGUAACCCACUAAAGAAGCACCGGCUAACUCUGUGCCAGCCG